UAUAUAGGGGAGGGAUCCAUGGAGAAUACUACAUUAAUAGAGAAUAGAGAAUUCAUCUCUAGCGUUAGAUCUACAAAAUCCAACGGCUACAAGAAAUUCGAAUAAUUAAAAAAUAAAACCAUCAAAAACGCUGAAAAUAAGAACGCUCCGAAAUUUUACUGCCCAGAGGGUGUAAUUGGGAAUUUUACCCACAUCAAUAAAUCCGGAAGAUUUGAUUACUCCGCCUUUCCCUCUUCCACAUCUCCACGAUUAUUCGGUUGAAUUUCUGCAGACACCAUUUGUACAAAACUUUCUGCAGAUUUGAAGAAAAAGAAUUGAAUUUGUUCAUCGUUUCGGCAUAUUUUCGCGACAUCGAAGGGGCAAAGAUGUUGAAAUUGACGAAGAACGUUGGGUUGAAAUUGAUUCUGAAACUAUAAAAGUUUCAUACAGAAGAUUCCCAUGCUUUGAGCCACCAACUGAUACAGAGCUCAAAUUUGACUCUUUCCACUACCCCUCAACAAUCGAUAGAGAGGGUUUUGUCUUCAAUUGGGGAUCCUUUGAAAAAAUCAAAUUUUUAUUCAAAGGUAAUUUGAUUCUUUUUUUUUUCUUUUUACUUUUCAAUUGGGGCAUGCUCUUUAAUUGGGGGUUCACCUAAUUUAUCAUAUUCAAAGUUACAUUAGUUAGUCGUUGUUUUCAUGGACAAGUGAAUAGGUUAUCAUUUUUUUUUUUUUUGCUUUUCAAUAUGGGUCUGCUCUUUAAUUGUUUGAUGAAGAGUUUUAAUAUUAUGUUUAUUCAUAUGGAAUUUGCUCCUGACUUCAAAGAACUGAAGUGAUUAUAUGGCUUGAAGAAUUUGUGUUGGAAUGAAGCAGAGGACCUUGAUUCUGGAUUGCCGAGAAUUUUUAUCUGAGUUUCUGCUGAUUGAAAAAAUGUAGUUUGUUCAUUGAAAAUGUAUAAUUAUUCGUUACAUGAAUUACUUUAUUCAACAGAAUAUUUUCUUCAUUCCUAGUUUAUGGGUAGUAGAUACAUUAUUCAGAAA
This is a long non-coding RNA of Salvia miltiorrhiza (redroot sage), 1015 nucleotides long. RefSeq lists it as uncharacterized. The record is from RefSeq and is a predicted model, not a curated record. NCBI's taxonomy places the organism in Eukaryota, Viridiplantae, Streptophyta, Magnoliopsida, Lamiales, Lamiaceae. The transcript is spliced from 2 exons.